Molecule: ribosomal RNA, 255 nt
Filed under: uncultured bacterium
Lineage: Bacteria
Description: partial 16S ribosomal RNA
Rfam family: Bacterial small subunit ribosomal RNA
Source: RNAcentral
UACGUAGGGUGCGAGCGUUGUCCGGAAUUAUUGGGCGUAAAGGGCUCGUAGGCGGUUUGUCGCGUCGGGAGUGAAAACUCAGGGCUUAACCCUGAGCCUGCUUCCGAUACGGGCAGACUAGAGGUAUGCAGGAGGAGAAUGGAAUUCCUGGUGUAGCGGUGGAAAUGCGCAGAUAUCAGGAGGAACACCGGUGGCGAAGGCGGUUCUCUGGGCAUUACCUGACGCUGAGGAGCGAAAGUGUGGGGAGCGAACAGG